This 292-nucleotide ribosomal RNA is filed under the name uncultured bacterium. RNAcentral's name for it is "partial 16S ribosomal RNA". It matches the Rfam family "Bacterial small subunit ribosomal RNA", at positions 505 to 796 of the family's 1533-position model. The record is from RNAcentral.
GUGCCAGCAGCCGCGGUAAUACGGAGGGUGCAAGCGUUGUUCGGAAUUACUGGGCGUAAAGCGCGUGUAGGCGGCUUCUUAAGUCUGGUGUGAAAGCCCGGGGCUCACCCCCGGAAGUGCAUUGGAUACUGGGAAGCUAGAGUACCGGAGAGGAAGGUGGAAUUCCUGGUGUAGCGGUGAAAUGCGUAGAUAUCAGGAGGAACACCGGUGGCGAAGGCGACCUUCUGGACGGAUACUGACGCUGAGACGCGAAAGCGUGGGGAGCAAACAGGAUUAGAAACCCCCGUAGUCC